Molecule: ribosomal RNA, 467 nt
Filed under: uncultured bacterium
Lineage: Bacteria
Description: partial 16S ribosomal RNA
Rfam family: Bacterial small subunit ribosomal RNA
Source: RNAcentral
GACGAACGCUGGCGGCGUGCUUAACACAUGCAAGUCGAACGGAAAGGCCCUGCUUUUGUGGGGUGCUCGAGUGGCGAACGGGUGAGUAACACGUGAGUAACCUGCCCUUGACUUUGGGAUAACUUCAGGAAACUGGGGCUAAUACCGGAUAGGAGCUCCUGCUGCAUGGUGGGGGUUGGAAAGUUUCGGCGGUUGGGGAUGGACUCGCGGCUUAUCAGCUUGUUGGUGGGGUAGUGGCUUACCAAGGCUUUGACGGGUAGCCGGCCUGAGAGGGUGACCGGCCACAUUGGGACAGAGAUACGGCCCAGACGCAUACGGGAGGCAGGAGUGAGGAAUAUUGCACGAUGGGCGGAAGCCUGAUGCAGCAACGCCGCGUGCGGGAUGACGGCCUUCGGGUUGUAAACCGCUUUCGCCUGUGACGAAGCGUGAGUGACGGUAAUGGGUAAAGAAGCACCGGCUAACUACGU